GGAAUAUUGGACAAUGGGGGGAACCCUGAUCCAGCGACGCCGCGUGAGUGAAGAAGUAUUUCGGUAUGUAAAGCUCUAUCAGCAGGGAAGAAAGAAAUGACGGUACCUGACUAAGAAGCCCCGGCUAACUACGUGCCAGCAGCCGCGGUAAUACGUAGGGGGCAAGCGUUAUCCGGAUUUACUGGGUGUAAAGGGAGCGUAGGCGGUGCGCCAAGCUGGGUGUGAAAGGCCGGGGCUCAACCCCGGGACUGCACUCGGAACUGGCGUGCUAGAGUGUUGGAGAGGUAAGCGGAAUUCCUAGUGUAGCGGUGAAAUGCGUAGAUAUUAGGAGGAACACCAGUGGCGAAGGCGGCUUACUGGACUGUAACUGACGUUGAGGCUCGAAAGCGUGGGGAGCAAAC
This 401-nucleotide ribosomal RNA is filed under the name uncultured bacterium. RNAcentral describes it as "bacterial SSU rRNA". It matches the Rfam family "Bacterial small subunit ribosomal RNA", at positions 358 to 773 of the family's 1533-position model. The record is from RNAcentral.